This 217-nucleotide microRNA precursor is filed under the name Cajanus cajan (pigeon pea). RNAcentral describes it as "miRNA gene-KK1_042195". The record is from RNAcentral. Lineage: Eukaryota; Viridiplantae; Streptophyta; Magnoliopsida; Fabales; Fabaceae.
UCAAUAAUAUUAUUAGUAUAUUUAUAGAUAAAUUAAUAACUCGAUUAAUAUAACUUAUUAUAUAUUAAUAUACGUUUACAAAAAUAUAAGUAUAUUAAUUAAAAAUAUACACAUCUUAUCUAAUAUAUUUAUAUUUUUGUAAAAGUAUAUUAAUAUAUACUGAGUUAUAUUUAUCAAAUUAUUAGUUUAUCUAUAAAUAUACUAAAAAUAUUAUUGA